This is a long non-coding RNA of Magnolia sinica, 1269 nucleotides long. RefSeq lists it as uncharacterized. Lineage: Eukaryota; Viridiplantae; Streptophyta; Magnoliopsida; Magnoliales; Magnoliaceae. The transcript is spliced from 5 exons. The record is from RefSeq and is a predicted model, not a curated record.
UGCUGGUGGCCAACAUGCACCGCCGGCGAGCAUCCCAAAAAUCUAUUCUAUUGGGUUGGAGUAACCUUUGAAGACAGUAACCGAAACCCGCUACUGACGAAGGUCCAUUAAAAAAGAAAAAAGAAAACCCUAACUCCCCCUUUCUCAUUCUCUCUCUCCAUCCCUCCCUCUCUCACUUCCAAAACCCACGGCCUCUCUCUCUCUCUCUCUCCCCCCCCCCCCCCCCCAUUCCAUCCUCCCAAAACCGACAACCUAUCUCUCUCACUUUAAAUGCUAGAGGAGAGAGCUCCCCUUUGGAUUUGCAGAUCUCAACGAGCUCAUGUAAUUUCAAUGGCAGACCUGUUCGAUUCUCGCGCUCGCAUUGGAUUUAAGAUGCUGUACGAAAGCAUGAAAAAGAAGGUAGAGAGGGUGGUAGAAAGGGGUCGCUUGAUAGACGGUGAGAUCGAUGAUAGUGAGGCUUUCAAGAAAUGGACAGAUGGAUUUACUCGUCAUGAUCAUCCUGCAGUUGUUUAGGAGUGUCUAUUUGACGAUAGCAACAGCACGCCCAGAGACAUUAUUUGCUGAUACAGCUAUCGCGGUGCAUCCUGAGGCUUUAGAUGACGAUGACAAUGAAGGGCUGGAUUUUGUGACAACUUGAGAAUCUACUUUUAGAGAUUGUUGAAUGAUGAUGCUGUCACAAGAUAGAAUUAGGAGGGGCCUUAGAUCUUGGAAGGUUGGAAAGGCAUAUGUAUUAUCAUACAUCAUUAGGAAGGGUAAGUAGGAAAUGCCCAAAUGAUUUUCAAACUGAUAUGUAUGGCUUCUAAUAGAGCUUUGAAUCAGGUUUUGAUCAGAAUCUUUUUUUUUUGUCUUUUUUUCCUUGUUUUUUACCCUUUGUUUCAAGUUGAGAAAUUUCUAGCGAUUUUAGAGGAUAAUGCUGAUUGAUGCUUCAGUUGUUUUAGUAUUUCCAAAACAGCUAAAAGAGAUAGAUUGCAUCGAAAAGCAAACAAGGGAAAGGAAAUGGCUGGUUAUACACAAAGGGUUUUUUCUGCUGGAGUACUUACGUUCUAAAGGAGAGGAGAGUAGAGGGAGUAUCAAUGCUCUGAUUUGUGGAUUGAUGGAUGCUCUGAUUUGAAGCUCAAUGCUUGACCAUGGCGCCUGAGCAUCCUCCUGUGUGGACUGGUCUCUAUCCUGGUUUCUUUCCCAAUUUUGAGGUAAUCUCCUGAUCAUGGCCCUUUUGGAUGGACUGCCAAACCCAUGGUUGAAGACGAAACCCUCGGUUUGUUCUGAAAC